GACGAACGCUGGCGGCGUGCUUAACACAUGCAAGUCGAACGGAAAGGCCCUGCUUUUGUGGGGUGCUCGAGUGGCGAACGGGUGAGUAACACGUGAGUAACCUGCCCUUGACUUUGGGAUAACUUCAGGAAACUGGGGCUAAUACCGGAUAGGAGCUCCUGCUGCAUGGUGGGGGUUGGAAAGUUUCGGCGGUUGGGGAUGGACUCGCGGCUUAUCAGCUUGUUGGUGGGGUAGUGGCUUACCAAGGGUUUGACGGGUAGCCGGCCUGAGAGGGUGACCGGCCACAAUGGGACUGAGAUACGGCCCAGUCUCCUACGGGAGGCAGCAGUGGGGAGCAUGGCGCAGUGGGCGGAAGCCUGAUGCAGCAACGCCGCGUGCGGGAUGACGGCCUUCGGGUUGUAAACCGCUUUCGCCUGUGACGAAGCGUGAGUGACGGUAAUGGGUAAAGAAGCACCGGCUAACUACGUG
This 468-nucleotide ribosomal RNA is filed under the name uncultured bacterium. Its description in RNAcentral is "partial 16S ribosomal RNA". It matches the Rfam family "Bacterial small subunit ribosomal RNA", at positions 28 to 507 of the family's 1533-position model. The record is from RNAcentral.